AGCUGCAUUACGUGAAACUGAUGCCUACAACACAGCUUUAGAAAAUGUAAACAAAGUUCUAAAGUAUCAACCAAACAAUACGAAAGCUCUGUACAGAAAAGGAUAUUGGAACGCAUUUAUUUUAUUAUAGGAUGACGAUAAUGAAGAGAAAAACUCUGACGUAGACGUAGACGAUGUCGAUAUGGCGGAGGAUAAUAAGGACUAUUCUAUGUGAACCUCAAACAUUUAUCAAAAUUGCGGGCUACAUUUUUCCCGCAGCGUGGCAACUCGGUUGGCGAGGCGCAUCGUGUCGA
Temnothorax curvispinosus is the source of this 293-nucleotide long non-coding RNA. RefSeq lists it as uncharacterized. Lineage: Eukaryota; Metazoa; Arthropoda; Insecta; Hymenoptera; Formicidae. The transcript is spliced from 3 exons. The record is from RefSeq and is a predicted model, not a curated record.